UACAGAGGGGGCAAGCGUUGUUCGGAAUUACUGGGCGUAAAGGGCGCGUAGGCGGCCUUCUAAGUCGAACGUGAAAUCCCCGGGCUCAACCCGGGAACUGCGUCCGAUACUGGAAGGCUUGAAUCCGGGAGAGGGAUGUGGAAUUCCAGGUGUAGCGGUGAAAUGCGUAGAUAUCUGGAGGAACACCGGUGGCGAAGGCGGCUCACUGGCCCGGUACUGACGCUGAGGUGCGAAAGCGUGGGGAGCAAACAGG
Molecule: ribosomal RNA, 253 nt
Filed under: uncultured bacterium
Lineage: Bacteria
Description: partial 16S ribosomal RNA
Rfam family: Bacterial small subunit ribosomal RNA
Source: RNAcentral